Molecule: ribosomal RNA, 526 nt
Filed under: uncultured bacterium
Lineage: Bacteria
Description: bacterial SSU rRNA
Rfam family: Bacterial small subunit ribosomal RNA
Source: RNAcentral
GAUUAACGCUGGCGGCGUGCCUAAUACAUGCAAGUCGAACGAACUUACUAGAGUCUAGAAGCCGGAAUUUAGAAUUUAGGCUAAGGAGCAAUCCUAAAACCUUAAUUCUUGAUUCUUAAUUCUUGAUUCUUGUAAGUUAGUGGCGGACGGGUGAGUAACACGUUGGUACCUGCCCCGAAGUGGGGAAUAACUGGCCGAAAGGUCGGCUAAUACCGCAUAGUCUCGUGCUUGUCACGAGUAAAGGUCGCCUUAGGCGACCGCUUCGGGAGGGGCCUGCGUCUGAUUAGCUAGUUGGUAGUGUAAUGGACUACCAAGGCGACGAUCAGUAGCUGGUUCGAGAGGAUGACCAGCCACACUGGGACUGAGAUACGGCCCAGACUCCUACGGGAGGCAGCAGUAAGGAAUCUUCCACAAUGGACGAAAGUCUGAUGGAGCAACGCCGCGUGCAGGAAGACGGUCUUCGGAUUGUAAACUGCUUUUAAUUGGGAAGAUUAUGACGGUACCAAUUGAAUAAGGACCGGCUAAC